GUGAAGACUUUUAAAAUAGAGACCAACGUGGCCGGGCAGGAAGAGCAGGGUCCCGCCUUCAGGUGUUUGGGACUCAGCUGAGGGUGUGGGUGCCCCGCGGUGGGGGCUGAACCUUCCUGGGGUGUGGAGAGACGAAAGGAGCCCAGAUCCAAGUUCCCUCGUUCCCGCUUUGGCAUAAGUUGCCCUGGCGGUCUCAUGAGAGAGAGAAAGAGCUGGGACCCUCCUCGCCCCAGUGAGUGUGAUGUCUUGCUCCGGGUGUCCUGGGGCAACUUUCUAUACAGGCGGGACGUGGGAGGAUCAGACAGUGUAACAUCAGACAAGGGUGUUGACUCUGCAGCACAGAACCAGUAGUUUGUGGAGAAGAAUGGAGGUGUGGUGUUGAAUCUGCUAGACAGGCUACUGAAGCAAAAGUCAAGAGAUCCAGAUUCCAUCAUGGGGACACUUUAGCUGUUGUAAAAAGGAUUGAGUUCUUGAUUGAUUCCCAGCUUGGUCAUUGGUGUAUAGCAGUGCUACUGAUUUGUUUACAUUCAUUUUGUAACCUGAGACUUUACUGAAUUCGUGUAUCAGAUCUAGGAGCCUUUUGGUUCUUCAUCGGGUAAUUGAGCUGAUAUCAGGUGUCUGAAGGAGGCAAGUUUUGAAGAUGUGGGUCAUGAUGGCUGCUGAAGCUUCCACUCCAUAUUUGAAGGUCAGCAGUUCUCAGGAAACCUCUAGCACUUCCAUCCCUGGUGGGAUGUGAUGCCUGUCUCAGUGUAACAUCAGAGAAGGGGUGUACUCUGUGCCCUAGAACUAGGAGCUAACAGAGAAAAACCAAAUGUGAUGUGGAGUCUGCUAGACAGGCUACUGGAGCAAGAGUGAAGCGAUGAAAGUCUCAUCAUUGGGACAUAUUAGUGUGACAUGCAUAAAGGAAUUUCUUAUUGAGCCCCAGGAAGAAGAAACACUACAUAAGAGCAAAUAAUAAAAUCGGUCAGAUAGACAGAAGAUGGGAGUCAUCAAACCUGUAUCCCUCUUGCCAGACCUAUCAACUGACCAUACGUCAUUCAGGAGGCAGCAGGUGGCUGAAAUCCUGGUGUGAUGUGGCUGGAUCAUGCAUGAUCUGAGGACUCCUGCACAGGUGACUGCAGGAUGAGUACAGAAUUUUUCUAUAAAUAUACUAAAAUACCAAGUAAGCCAGGAGCAGCCACUAGGCAAACACCAAACCUUGCAUUCCUGGCCAAACCUAUCACAGAGCUCAUCAGGUAAGUUCAAAGACACACCUGUCUUCCCAGCAUUGGGAACUGGAUUGGGGUCUACUCAGAGGCAUGAUGUUGACCAGAUUUUAUGAAACACCCAAGAAUGUAGAGAACAUUCUGUCUUUAAAACCUUGAAUUCAAAACAUAUCAGAGAGAGAUUUACUUCCCUUAUAUGGAUGUCUGUGUUCUCAUUAGGAGAGAAACAAUGAAAAAUGACUUUUCACAAUGCCUGCCUUAGCCGUGAGGCUCAGCCAACCCCCACUUCUAUGUCUCAGCAUUUAAAGGGCAAUUGAAGUCCCACUCCAUGCUAUAUACUCUCAAGAGGUUUUCUCAUUUACCCUUCAGAACAGCUCUGUAAAGAUGGUAUGGUCAGUCCCAUUUCACAGAUGACUAAGCUCAGGCUCACAGAGCCUAAGUCACCCCUCCAGGUAAGUGGCAGGGUUGGAAUGAGGUUCUAUUCCUCACCCUCCCUAGAGAACCCUGAGCAGCUUCCGUUUUAGAAGAUGGGUUUCCAGGGCUUGAGAAAUGGUCAGAUUCCCCCCUGAUAUUGUGGCCCCACAGGUCCUCACUCCACAACCCCUCUGGGUGAUGAGGAAGACAGAAGAGGUGAAAUCCUGCGCUUUGUGCCAUGAGAUCUGGGUGUAGGGCCACAGGAGUUAGCUAAUCCUUGAAGUGGUGAGUGGGCUCAGGCAGAAGCUCAAGUGUUGGCCUUGGGACAG
RNAcentral lists this long non-coding RNA (1948 nucleotides) under Homo sapiens (human). RNAcentral's name for it is "HSALNT0284962". The record is from RNAcentral. Lineage: Eukaryota; Metazoa; Chordata; Mammalia; Primates; Hominidae.